This 249-nucleotide ribosomal RNA is filed under the name uncultured bacterium. RNAcentral describes it as "partial small subunit ribosomal RNA". It matches the Rfam family "Bacterial small subunit ribosomal RNA", at positions 26 to 288 of the family's 1533-position model. The record is from RNAcentral.
AGAAUCAACGCUGGCGGCGUGCCUAACACAUGCAAGUCGAACGAGAAAGGGUAGCAAUACCUGAGUAAAGUGGCGCACGGGUGAGUAACACGUGACUAACCUACCUUUUAGUGGGGGGAUAACCUAGGGAAACCUGGGCUAAUACCGCAUAAUACCUUCGGGUCAAAGGAGCAAUUCGCUUAAGGAGGGGGUCGCGGCCGAUUAGUUAGUUGGCGGGGUAAUGGCCCACCAAGACUGUGAUCGGUAUCC